CGUGACCUGAGCUGAAGUCGGAUGCUUAACCGACUGAGCCACCCAGGCACCUCCGAUGCAAAUUCUUGAAUAUCACAAUUUACAAUUGACUUGAUUACGAAGCAUGAAAUUAAUUUUAGACAGUUCAAAAUGGGAACUGCUUCAGAUUCUAAGUUGGCAGAUGUCAAUUUAAAGGGCAUUUAGGAUAUAUUCUGCUCUUUCUUAAAGGUUUCAAUGCUAUUUGAAGGUGGUUUACCUCUGCAGUUUCAAUUCUGCUACACUGACAAAGCACAAGGCAGGAGAUGUACUGUGGAAGGUAGAAUGUCCGUGAUGUUAAAGAUAUUCCUAAUUUGGGGAUAUCGCCUAAUGGAGAUAAAGUUAGUGGUGUUAAGAUGUUCCUAAUUUGAGGAGCUAAGGCGCCAAUCUAGACCCAUGGUCUUUCAUUCCUUCUUUACAGUGCUCAUCAGAAAAGGAAAUAUCUAACGGUCAAGUGCUUUGGACUGGCAGUCAAACUGACUUAGUUUCAAAUCCCACCUCUACCAGUGUCUACCACACUCUCCAAGCCUUGAGUAUGCACAUUUGUAAAGUGAGGUAUACCAGUACCUAUCUGUCUCCUCUUGGAGAUUAAAUAAGAUACCGCAUAUCGGUGCCUGGCACUUCACAGAAGGAGCUCAAUAAGCAUUAACUAUUAUUAAUAUUAUUAAACAGGAAGAAGAUGGCAUUAUAAGCCAAACCGGUCUGCAACAAGGGAAGUGUGAAACUGAGACAAAGCCUUCAGAACACUGUAUAUGACAGAAACAUUACAAUUAUUGUUUAAUUUUUAUAAAUAUAUUGGUCUGCAAUAGAAUGGAAAUUAAACAAGACCAAAAAUUAGUCAUCUACCAGACAGCUGGAGGAGCACUGCCCUAGAGCUCUGGUGUGAACAGCUUGCUCUCUGUUACCAGCUCUGUGGCAAAGGGGAGACGUGCUCAGAAAUCACUUAGGCAUAAAGGAAGCAAGAAAGAAGUUACAAAAGCAUCAAGAAAGUUGGUCUGGGGGCAAGGAAUGCCGAAGACAGUGAUGAGAUCACUGUCACAUAAAGCCGGAUGGUCAGAUACAGCAGGUCAUGAUCUCACAGUUCAUGGGUUUGAGCCCCCAAGUCCGACUCUGCACUGGCAUCACGGAACCAGUGAAAAAGAAGAUAGCAGAUCGCAUAUUGCAAAAACCACUCAAGAUGGUUCAAGAAGAUACUGAAACUGGAAAAGUUCUCAGCACUUUAUACAAAUAAAGUUUCAUUAAUCUCUUA
Molecule: long non-coding RNA, 1264 nt
Organism: Felis catus (domestic cat)
Lineage: Eukaryota; Metazoa; Chordata; Mammalia; Carnivora; Felidae
Exons: 6
Source: RefSeq, a predicted model, not a curated record